Non-coding RNA from Musa acuminata subsp. malaccensis (wild Malaysian banana), 76 nucleotides. NCBI's taxonomy places the organism in Eukaryota, Viridiplantae, Streptophyta, Magnoliopsida, Zingiberales, Musaceae. The record is from Rfam.
UGCCUAUGAUGCAUAAAUAUGCACGUAUUAUCAGACAUGUAAUGAUGAUAUAUGAAUUGUCACUACCACUGAGGCA